Long non-coding RNA from Gorilla gorilla gorilla (western lowland gorilla), 1866 nucleotides. RefSeq lists it as uncharacterized. The record is from RefSeq and is a predicted model, not a curated record. Lineage: Eukaryota; Metazoa; Chordata; Mammalia; Primates; Hominidae. The transcript has 2 exons.
GCAUGAAACCUCCGUAAACAUGGAAGUAGGAUAAGGGAGCAAGGGUUAUGGGGUCAUCUUAGAAUUUUGUCUACCACAAGGGUAUUUGGUGUGACGUUUAUGCUGUGGAUUUUUCAGAGCAACCACGUUCUUAAUCCUUAUCUUCGUUUUGGUGUCCUACAACCUGGCCUGGAAAGAAGAGGGCCAACUCUGGGUGGGUUCCAUCAACAAGUACAUGUAGAGCACCUGCCGCACAGCCAACCUUCCUGUUAUGGACUAUUUGUUUAUGCCCCCCAAAUUUCUGUGUUGAACUCCUAAGCCCCAGUGUGAUGGUUUUAGGAGGUGGGGCCUUUGGGGGGUGAUUAGGUCAUAAGGGUGGAGCUCUCAUGAACGAUGGGAUUAGUACCCUUAUAAAAGGAAUCCGUGAGAGCGCUGUGAGGACAGAAUGCAAAGACAGUUAUCAGCAACCUAGAAGAGGGCUCACGCCAGGAUCAGGCCAUGCCGGCACCCUGACUAAGAACUUCCAUCCUGCAGAACCAUGAAAAGUACGUUUCUGUUGUUUGUGAGCCACCAGUGUAUGGUGCUUUGUUAUAACAGCCUGUACUGACUAAGAUACGUGCAUUAUAGGCAGGAAGUAAAAAUCUCUGUAAAAUGCACGUUCCUUGCUCUCUCCACGUCAAAGUUUUUCAUACACAUAUCAUGAGAUUGUCAGCCAAUCAAGGCAUCUGAGGACAGGGGCUAAAUUUAGUGGGAAUUGAGUGGGAAAGUAAACCCUUGGGAAUUGAAGCAGGCAAAGGAAGGCUUCAGGAGACGAAAUGGUCAGUGGGCCUUGAACAAGGCAGACAGUUCAACAAGAUGGAGAGAGAGGGGCAAGGCCACCCAGGUGGCAAAGAGCCUACUGUGUGGGGAAAUAAUGGGAAGUCAGAUUGAGCUGUAGUGGUGGGUCCUCCCCCAACACUUGAAUAGGUGUGCUGUGGGGGUGGAUGGGAGGCACACUAUGAAAAAUACAUGUGUGUUCAUGAUAAGCCACAUGGGGACAGCCACAUGUUGAAAUCACAUGAAGUUCCUUUUUCUUACAGAAGCCUCUUGAAGGACUCAUGUCCUCCAUCCCUGCCUACAGCAAGCCUUUGUCAAGGGCCCUCUGCUCUUGGUGUACAGGUGAAUCAUUCUGAACAGUGUGAGAAGUUCUAUACACAAAGUUCGAAGCCCAGCCUUCACAUUGAGAUUGUCUGAGAAACUUGUAAAAAGGAUACCAAUGGUCAGGGAGUACCUCAGACCAACUCGAUCAGAUUUCUGGUGAUUGGCAUGGGGAUUGGGAUUGUAUGGAAAUGUUCUCCAGGUGACUUUAAUAGCAGCUGGCCAAGAAGUGGAGCUGCUCUUUAUUCUCCCAGUGGCUCUGUGUACACGCUCUGCCUGUGGAGCUGCCUGGGAUGAGCCGUGAGUCCUCUGAGAACUGCUUCCUGUUUCGUCUGGUAACUCCUAAGCCUGCCUUUCUUUCCUACGGUCUGCAUUUGUGGAAAUCUGCAGUAUUUGAAGUUUGGAGGAGAUCAAUUUUUCAUCCUUUCCUUCGUGGGAUAAAGAAUAUUUCAACCACCUCUGGAGACCAAAGAGUUCUGAGAAGUUUUGAAAUAGCUUGGGAAAUACACCACGUGCUUCACACUUCAUUUUUCUCCUCUCUCUUUCAUUGUUUCACUUAAUUAAAAUAUUGUAAUGCAAGAAGGAGAGAUGAGGCAAACGUUUAGAGAAGGAAAGGGAAAUGGGUUCAUGUUUAAACUGACUCUGAGCAAGCAUGGCGAUAGUAGUUUGAAAGAAUUCUGAGCAUGUAGGAAGGUAAACUCAAAAUGUUCUUCCUGCCUGAGAAGUGAUUAAAAUACCUGUGAGCACCAA